GGAAGAUCUCACCAUCCCCCACCAUGAUCAGAGUGGAGACCUCGGGGAUGAUAAUAUUGUUGUUAAAGACGAGUAUAAAGAGGAGGACGAGGAGUACGGGGUGAUGACGGAGCUUUCUGAAGGACACA
Nanorana parkeri is the source of this 128-nucleotide long non-coding RNA. RefSeq lists it as uncharacterized. The transcript is spliced from 2 exons. The record is from RefSeq and is a predicted model, not a curated record. NCBI's taxonomy places the organism in Eukaryota, Metazoa, Chordata, Amphibia, Anura, Dicroglossidae.